Molecule: transfer RNA, 84 nt
Filed under: bacterium
Lineage: Bacteria
Description: tRNA-Leu
Rfam family: tRNA
About the family: Transfer RNA (tRNA) molecules are approximately 80 nucleotides in length. Their secondary structure includes four short double-helical elements and three loops (D, anti-codon, and T loops). Further hydrogen bonds mediate the characteristic L-shaped molecular structure. tRNAs have two regions of fundamental functional importance: the anti-codon, which is responsible for specific mRNA codon recognition, and the 3' end, to which the tRNAs corresponding amino acid is attached (by aminoacyl-tRNA synthetases). tRNAs cope with the degeneracy of the genetic code in two manners: having more than one tRNA (with a specific anti-codon) for a particular amino acid; and 'wobble' base-pairing, i.e. permitting non-standard base-pairing at the 3rd anti-codon position.
Source: RNAcentral
GCCGGGAUGGCGGAACUGGCAGACGCGCUAGCUUCAGGAGCUAGUGGGGGCAACCCCAUGGGGGUUCAACUCCCCCUUCCGGCA